UUUGGUGAAAGCAUGCCAGGAAAAAUAAUCAUUAACUCAAUAAAGGUGAACUCUGGCUCACUUCUUUGAGUACUGCAUUGGUCAUUUCAUAAUGGGUUAUAAAGUAAUGAUAGUAAAGUUGACAGUACUGAAAAAAACAAGAGUAAUAUCUAACUUGUAUGAGAAUUAAAGAAAUAAAAAGGAUGUCAAAGCCUGAUGUUGUAAUUGUUAGCUGAGGAGAGGCAGAGUCAAGUAAUAGGAAACAGUAGUCAUUUCAAAUGUCGAAUUCACCAAACUUCUCUAUGAUAUGUCCACGAACCCGUGUCACAUCUGAAGAUGUAAAAAACCAGAGUAUACUCAACAAAGUAUUCAACAGGAUACAACCUGAAAUACUGCAGUUAUUUAAGUUUUUCUAAAAAUUUGACAUAAGCCGGAGAGCCGGCACUGACAGAUGAAAUGUGAUUGGUCGGGGCAGAGGAAGCAAAAGCAACCCUACCAGAAUCCAUCAGAACGGCAUAACUUUCUCCAAGUAGCUGCUCUUUAAUUGUGCUACUAUGUCUGUAAAGAAUACACCAAAGCAAGUAAGGUGGUUUUUAAUAUUAAUACAACUUUUUAUUUAAAACACCACCAACAACAAAUUAACACAUUUUUGGUGCCUGGAACAGAAUUUAAAAGACUGCGGCACCGUCUAUAGGCCCAGAUGCUCUCCUAAAGAUAAGUAUCUACAAAACUCCUAAAGGGAUUGUUAAGGAUGGAACCAUAAAAUGACGGGGAAAUGAAAGGACAAACACACUCAAGAUGAUUACUGGUCAAAGAAAACCCUAAACUGGAUUUAACUAAGGAACUGACCUUAGUCUAGGUGCUUAACGGUGAGAUAUUGCAAAUAAAACCACUGAAAAACACUAAAGUUUUAUUCCAGGCACAAGCUUUAUAUCGUGUGUGUGUGUGUGUGUGUGUGUGUGUGCGUGCGUGCGUGCGUGCGUGUAAGUAAACAAUUUCUAAGUUAGCCUGCUGCCUGAACCUGACAUCAACAGCUCGAUGGAACAAAAUCCCCCUCGAAAGAAAUUACGUUUCUGUCACGAGAAAUACAAGCGAGAGAAAAAAAAACACAAAGCCACAAGGAAAAACAAACAAAAAAGUAAAGAAAACAAUCUUCGAGAAUGACAGGUCGCCAAAGUUGUGGCCGUUA
This is a long non-coding RNA of Oreochromis niloticus (Nile tilapia), 1168 nucleotides long. RefSeq lists it as uncharacterized. The transcript has 2 exons. The record is from RefSeq and is a predicted model, not a curated record. Lineage: Eukaryota; Metazoa; Chordata; Actinopteri; Cichliformes; Cichlidae.